Molecule: long non-coding RNA, 415 nt
Organism: Hyposmocoma kahamanoa
Lineage: Eukaryota; Metazoa; Arthropoda; Insecta; Lepidoptera; Cosmopterigidae
Exons: 4
Source: RefSeq, a predicted model, not a curated record
GAGACACAUUUGCGGGCGUGAGGUCACUCCGCCGCCGUCGCGUCGCGCAUUGCAUUCCCACUAAAUCUACUUUUAAAGUCUAAGCCCUCAACUGGGGGCUCAGUUUGCCUUUCGCAGCUGAAUCGGCAGUGCUUUUGAAAGACAAUUCACAAGUAGUCUACCGUGAAUGCGACACCUGCUGUGGCCUUCAACGACGUGCGAUCGACAAGCAUGGCUUCAAUAGAUUACGCGAAGGUGCCCAUCCAGGAGAAGCCGUUGCACACUCCACCACUCCAAGAGAUUGUUAAAGUGCUAUCGCGCGCUUUGCCGGCUACAUUUGAGUUUGUGGAGGCAUCCGUGGCCGACACGCCAGACCUCACUCGACCGCCUUUUCUUCUUACUUCACCAGGUACAUAUUAUGUAUACUAGUCUCAUU